GGUGACCAGCGGAGGGAUCAUUAAAGAGUUCUAUAACUCCCAAACCCAUGUGAACAUACCUAACGUUGCCUCGGCAGGUCGCACCUACCUUGUAGCACCCUACCCUGUAGGGCCUACCCGGGAGGUGCGGGUAAGCCUGCCGGCGGCCCACCAAACUCUGUUUGAUAUUGAAUUCUGAACCUAUAACUAAAUAAGUUAAAACUUUCAACAACGGAUCUCUUGGUUCUGGCAUCGAUGAAGAACGCAGCGAAAUGCGAUAAGUAAUGUGAAUUGCAGAAUUCAGUGAAUCAUCGAAUCUUUGAACGCAUAUUGCGCCCAUUAGUAUUCUAGUGGGCAGGACCGUUCGAGCGUCAUUUCAACCCUUAAGCCUUCGUUGCUUAGUGUUGGGAGCCUACGGCAACGUAGCUCCUCAAAGUUAGUGGCGGAGUUGGUUCACACUCUAGACGUAGUAAUUUUUUAUCUCGCCUAUUAGUUGGACUAAUCCCCUGCCGUAAAACCCCCAAUUUAUCAAGGUUGACCUCGAAUCGGUUCAGACAAACUCGCUAAAUUGAAGCAUCUUAGUCAGCGAAGGAAAAGAAACCAACAGGGAUUGCCCUAGUAACGGCGAGUGAAGCGGCAACAGCUCAAAUUUGAAAUCUGGCCCUCGGGUCCGAGUUGUAAUUUGUAGAGGAUGCUUUUGGCGCGGUGCCUUCCGAGUUCCCUGGAACGGGACGCCUUAGAGGGUGAGAGCCCCGUACGGUUGGACACCAAGCCUCUGUAAAGCUCCUUCGACGAGUCGAGUAGCUUGGGAAUGCUGCUCUAAA
Molecule: ribosomal RNA, 803 nt
Filed under: fungal endophyte
Lineage: Eukaryota; Fungi
Description: eukaryotic LSU rRNA
Rfam family: Eukaryotic large subunit ribosomal RNA (bases 515-803)
Source: RNAcentral